UACUCCUACGGGAGGCAGCAGUGGGGAAUUUUGGACAAUGGGGGAAACCCUGAUCCAGCCAUGCCGCGUGUGUGAAGAAGGCCUUCGGGUUGUAAAGCACUUUUGGCAGGAACGAAACGGCGCCAGCUAAUACUUGGCGCUAACGACGGUACCUGCAGAAUAAGCACCGGCUAACUACGUGCCCGCAGCCGCGGUAAUACGUAGGGUGCGAGCGUUAAUCGGAAUUACUGGGCGUAAAGCGUGCGCAGGCGGUUUCGUAAGACAGAUGUGAAAUCCCCGGGCUUAACCUGGGAACUGCAUUUGUGACUGCGAGGCUAGAGUGUGUCAGAGGGGGGUGGAAUUCCACGUGUAGCAGUGAAAUGCGUAGAGAUGUGGAGGAACACCGAUGGCGAAGGCAGCCCCCUGGGUUAACACCG
RNAcentral lists this ribosomal RNA (416 nucleotides) under uncultured bacterium. Its description in RNAcentral is "bacterial SSU rRNA". It matches the Rfam family "Bacterial small subunit ribosomal RNA", at positions 334 to 742 of the family's 1533-position model. The record is from RNAcentral.